This is a long non-coding RNA of Cygnus atratus (black swan), 2841 nucleotides long. RefSeq lists it as uncharacterized. The record is from RefSeq and is a predicted model, not a curated record. The transcript is spliced from 5 exons. Lineage: Eukaryota; Metazoa; Chordata; Aves; Anseriformes; Anatidae.
AGUGACAAAGGAAACAAUGUCCUGCUACAGACAGUCACAGAUAACGGGCAACUCAGCCUGUUAUCCUCCAGGGCAAGGCACUGGGAGACAAUAGCCAGAGAGACUUGGGCUGCAGCAUUUUCCCAGGCUUUCUGAACAUACUGAGUUUGCGACAGCAUCGUGCUCUAAGAGUGAAUCCUCCUGAGAAGGUGUCAGCUCUCCUUCACCUCUGAUGGGCCUUUUUGCUGCUCCUGUUGACUGCAGAGGAACUUCAGCAAUUCAAUUUAACAAAAUGGAAAAACUUACUAUUUGCAUUUUCAAAUAUUUAUUCAGCUUUGUGAUAUUAUCACAACAAUGAGGAAGGUUUGAAAGGUUGAGAAAGAAAGGCAUCCGGGCUUUGUCUGAAAACAUCCAUCAACACAGAAGUUCUCAUGCAAAGUUCUUCAGCUUCAUAUCUGUUUGCUGCUUCUCUCUUUGCUGGAUAACUGAGCUGCUCAGCAUGGCCCAGGAUUUUUUUUUUCCAGGAAGCCACUGUCAGGAGGAUAUAACUGAUGCAGCUCCACUGUAUAGUUAUGUAUGGGCAUCACAGCAUCAUGUUCAAGCUAACAACCUGAUCCAAAACUGUUCGCCCUGAGAAUAUGGUGCAGAGACUCAGAAAACUGAUCAGCAGCUGAUAAACUAAGGAAUCUCACAAGAAUCAUCCCAAAGGCAUCCAUCAUUUUGGCAAAAAUCUGAUUGUACAGGCUUUGGGGAAAAUAUUUUUCCUUACAGAGAAUGUAAAAAGCAACAGGGACAGAAAAAAUGGCUAACUUGGCGUGUUUCUUCUCUGACUCCUGACAUGCUGCACACAAUUGCCACAUCGGUAUAUUUCUGCAAAUGUGACUGCUCACUCAGAACUCCAUCCUAAGCACUGGAAAACUCCUGCAGCCUGAGAAAUAUAGCUAAUAAGAUCCAUCUGCUUUGGAGACAUUUUUAAUUCCUAUGAUUUACUCGUUAAUUUUCUCUUCUCUAAUUACACACAAACGUUAGUGGGGGGAACUGGAAGAAGAGAAACAGGGAGAAAAAAAGAGCCAGCUGGUAGGGACCGACUGCACUUCGUGUUGCAGUCACUAGCCGGCGUGAUCCCCACAGUCAUUGCAACACAGCCUGGUCCCCGGCUCUUUCUCAGAGACAGAUUGUGAAAUGAGGAAUCUUUUUCAAGAAAAAUAGCAAAAGGGAGAAUCCUGAUAGAUGAGGGGGAAUUGUGCCCUAAAUCUAAAGGUAUUCUCAAUGGGCUAGGUGUUAUUACAACUAUUAGUAUUGUUAUAAGGCUCUGAAUGAAUGGACCAACCCUCAUCAAUUCAGACCCAUGCACCAAGACCUGGAUGGGGAAGAGGAUAUUUAAGCAACAAGAAAAAGCAAAGUUAUCCCGCAAAGAGGUGAGCCAGAGAGGCAGCACUAGCCCCUGUGUGCCCCGUGCCCCUGCAGAGACGUGCUCCCUCCUGUUGCCCCCUGCCAGGCCAGCAACCUGCCCCUCACGACUGCAGCUGCGCAGGGUGGCACAGCACAGCCCGGUGCCAUGGGGGAACAUUUAGACACUCCAAGUGUUUGAUGCGUUUUGGAGUGGGGAAUCAACUCACAUCUAGUCCCCAGGACCAUAAAUCUAAUUUAGACUGACACAAUUGCCCAUGCCCGCGCUGGCAGCUCCCUGGCCAGGGCUGUAUGCAGAGGAUGGUCAGCAGCCCCGGGAGGCAUCUGGCACAGAGAAUCACAACAUUUUCAGGCAGUUGCUUCAAGGGUCCAGCAAAUUAGUUGUACAGCCUGUUUCAGACAGACCUAAGUUCUGCCUGUGCUCCACGAGGGACGCAAACUGACUCUGGAAAUAUCUGUUCACCUGCCCUGACCCACUGCUGUGCAGGUAUCAUGCAGUAUGUCACCAGCUCCACACAGCACCUGCUGCACCCCUCUGACUCCUUUCCUGCCUGAGCUUCUCAGAAAUGGCAAGCAAACCGCACACAGGCAAAAUCUGAACACGUGCAGCAACGUGAAUGCUGUGGUUUGACUUUCCACAAUGGUAGGGUUUUGCCUCACACUCACUUUCUGUUCCUUUGAGCUCUGCAUUUAGUUAUUUCUUGGUUUUACCUUUCCUGACUCCACUACUGAGGGACCUCCACAGCCCCCCGCAAGGCCCGGGGUCGCCCACAGCUGCUGCCCCCGAGGGGCUGCUUGAAGCCAGGAAUUUGAGAAAAGCUGAAUUACCUAAACCUGAACCUGCUGCUGCCGUUCCUGGAGUUAAGGCUAAUUCCUGAGGGCACCACUCAACUUCAUAAAACCUUUACAGGCACAGAACAAGAUGGAGAAGAAAAACAGUUACCAGAAGAAAUCAUUUCUGUUUUCUCAACUUAUAAAGGUGUUACCCAUGCAUUUCUAAAAGGUGCUGGGUAGCUCUGAUAACCUUCAUUUCGUCAAGAUGAAACAGGGAAAUAACCAAUCUAAGGGCCAGACACACCAAGAAGCUGCUGUGUCAGCUGGUUUGCACCCCAAAGGAAAGGUAGGUAACCCACAAAGGUUUCCUCAGAUUGCUCUCACAUUCCAGCAAGCACAGAGCCAGACGUCAUCCUGUAUCUUGCUUUCUUGAAAGGAAUGGAGACACCUCAUUUCCAUGGAGAUCAAACACAGUUAGGUACUGAAAUACCUGACCUCACCUGUGAAGUCUGCAGCUGAACCUAGGUAUGAACCGACUCUUCCCCAGCACCAUUACCAGUGAAACAUCCUCCCUUUGCUAGCUCUGAAAGCAUUACAAUGGCAUCUGGAAAAGAAAGGCAACAAUCUGUGGAAGUCUGUGUGAUUUUAGGUUACUAAUAAAAAUAUGUGAUAAAUUCA